Molecule: ribosomal RNA, 253 nt
Filed under: uncultured bacterium
Lineage: Bacteria
Description: partial 16S ribosomal RNA
Rfam family: Bacterial small subunit ribosomal RNA
Source: RNAcentral
UACAGAGGGUGCAAGCGUUAAUCGGAAUGACUGGGCGUAAAGGGUGCGUAGGUGGUAUAACGAGUUGGGUGUGAAAGUCCCGGGCUUAACCUGGGGAUUGCGCUCAAUACUGUUAAGCUAGAGUACUGUAGAGGAAGGUGGAAUUUCCAGUGUAGCGGUGAAAUGCGUAGAUAUUGGAAGGAACAUCAGUGGCGAAGGCGACUUUCUGGACAGAUACUGACACUGAGGCACGAAAGCGUGGGGAGCAAACAGG